Molecule: ribosomal RNA, 468 nt
Filed under: uncultured bacterium
Lineage: Bacteria
Description: partial 16S ribosomal RNA
Rfam family: Bacterial small subunit ribosomal RNA
Source: RNAcentral
GACGAACGCUGGCGGCGUGCUUAACACAUGCAAGUCGAACGGAAAGGCCCUGCCUUUGUGGGGUGCUCGAGUGGCGAACGGGUGAGUAACACGUGAGUAACCUGCCCUUGACUUUGGGAUAACUUCAGGAAACUGGGGCUAAUACCGGAUAGGAGCUCCUGCUGCAUGGUGGGGGUUGGAAAGUUUCGGCGGUUGGGGAUGGACUCGCGGCUUAUCAGCUUGUUGGUGGGGUAGUGGCUUACCAAGGCUUUGACGGGUAGCCGGCCUGAGAGGGUGACCGGCCACAUUGGGACUGAGAUACGGCCCAGACUCCUACGGGAGGCAGCAGUGGGGAAUAUUGCACAAUGGGAGGAAGCCUGAUGCAGCAACGCCGCGUGCGGGAUGACGGCCUUCGGGUUGUAAACCGAUUUCGCCUGUGACGAAGCGUGAGUGACGGUAAUGGGUAAAGAAGCACCGGCUAACUACGUG